UACGUAGGUGGCAAGCGUUGUCCGGAAUUAUUGGGCGUAAAGCGCGUGUAGGCGGCUUUGCAAGUCGGGUGUGAAAGCCCUCAGCUCAACUGAGGAAGUGCGCCCGAAACUGCAGAGCUUGAGUGCCGGAGAGGGUGGCGGAAUUCCCCAAGUAGAGGUGAAAUUCGUAGAUAUGGGGAGGAACACCGGUGGCGAAGGCGGCCACCUGGACGGUAACUGACGCUGAGACGCGAAAGCGUGGGUAGCAAACAGG
Molecule: ribosomal RNA, 253 nt
Filed under: uncultured bacterium
Lineage: Bacteria
Description: partial 16S ribosomal RNA
Rfam family: Bacterial small subunit ribosomal RNA
Source: RNAcentral